AUGUUUUUCUCUUUUUUUUUUUUGGCAGGAGGAGGAGAACGGGAACCGAGCAGGUCCCCCCCGGAGCCGCCUGGAGCCCAUGGACACGAUCUUCGUGAAGAACGUGCGGGAGGACGGGCCGGCGCACCAGGCGGGGCUGCGCACGGGUGACCGCCUGGUCAAGGUGAACGGCGAGAGCAUCAUCGGCAAAACGUACUCGCAGGUGAUCGCCCUGAUCCAGAACAGUGACGAUGUGCUGGAGCUCUCCAUCAUGCCCAAGGACGAGGACAUCCUGCAGCUGGUGGGUU
Long non-coding RNA from Malurus melanocephalus (red-backed fairy wren), 287 nucleotides. RefSeq lists it as uncharacterized. The transcript is spliced from 4 exons. NCBI's taxonomy places the organism in Eukaryota, Metazoa, Chordata, Aves, Passeriformes, Maluridae. The record is from RefSeq and is a predicted model, not a curated record.